Molecule: ribosomal RNA, 183 nt
Filed under: uncultured Rhodocyclaceae bacterium
Lineage: Bacteria; Pseudomonadati; Pseudomonadota; Betaproteobacteria; Rhodocyclales; Rhodocyclaceae
Description: partial 16S ribosomal RNA
Rfam family: Bacterial small subunit ribosomal RNA
Source: RNAcentral
ACUGGGUAGGGCUUCACACGUCAUACAAUGGUCGGUACAGAGGGUUGCCAACCCGCGAGGGGGAGCUAAUCCCACAAAGCCGAUCGUAGUCCGGAUCGCAGUCUGCAACUCGACUGCGUGAAGUCGGAAUCGCUAGUAAUCGUGGAUCAGCAUGUCCACGGUCGAAUACGUUCCCGGGUCCUU